CCCUAUGGGGUGCACCAGGCUGGACCGAAACCGGUCCUCACCAGAGGCAAGGACAGCUUGUAUCUGUUUAUGCCGGUCACGAUUCAUGAGGAGGAAGCCAUUCGAGAGGACGGUGAGCCAAGUUGCGAUUGCGGCGAUGAAGAGGCUCACAAUGAGGAAGUGGAAUCCGAUUCAGACGACGAAGAUGAACUGGAGGAUCACGAAGGGGCCACUGAACCCGAUCCCUGGCCCAAACGCGCAGCCUGGCUCGAACGGGAGUUUGCCUGGCGCAUGAUCGAUUAUGCUGUCGACCUCGGUGUGAUGGAUCCAAGUGACAGCAUUACUGAAUGCGAAGACCGUCUCAACCAUGUCCGGCAGAUUCAAAAGGAUCUCGCCCAAGCAAGGAAAGAGGCUCACAUCAACGCUCCCAAAGAUCACCUGGCAUUACAGCCACCAGCAACUAAACCGAAGUGGGAGAGC
RNAcentral lists this ribosomal RNA (459 nucleotides) under uncultured prokaryote. Its description in RNAcentral is "partial 16S ribosomal RNA". The record is from RNAcentral.